GCACUACGUGAGUCUUGCCGCUUGUAAAAAUUCUCACUGAAUAUUGUCCCCCGUAGGUAUGACCGGGAACACUGGCGUUGAAAGCUAUAGAGCUGUUCUUAAUUCAAAGCAAGCCUUUGGCAGACAACUUCAGACUGCGAUUUGUGACGACUCCUUCGAAGACCUGUGGAACGCACUGAACAGGCACAAUGAUGCGACGGACUUCACUGGUCAUACACAUGUCACUGAAAGCGGUAUCACCAGUUCCCUACCUAUGGUGUUCAGCAACAGCAUCAAUCAUGCACU
Non-coding RNA from Dermacentor albipictus, 285 nucleotides. The record is from RefSeq and is a predicted model, not a curated record. Lineage: Eukaryota; Metazoa; Arthropoda; Arachnida; Ixodida; Ixodidae.